UGGGGAAUAUUGCACAAUGGGCGAAAGCCUGAUGCAGCAACGCCGCGUGAGUGAUGAAGGCCUUCGGGUUGUAAAGCUCUGUCUUUUGGGACGAUAAUGACGGUACCAAAGGAGGAAGCCACGGCUAACUACGUGCCAGCAGCCGCGGUAAUACGUAGGUGGCAAGCGUUGUCCGGAUUUACUGGGCGUAAAGGAUGCGUAGGCGGAUUUUUAAGUGAGAUGUGAAAUACCCGGGCUUAACUUGGGUGCUGCAUUUCAAACUGGGAAUCUAGAGUGCGGGAGAGGAGAAUGGAAUUCCUAGUGUAGCGGUGAAAUGCGUAGAGAUUAGGAAGAACACCAGUGGCGAAGGCGAUUCUCUGGACCGUAACUGACGCUGAGGCAUGAAAGCGUGGGUAGCAAACAGGAUUAGAUACCCUGGUAGUCCACGCCGUAAACGAUGAGUACUAGGUGUAGGAGGUAUCGACCCCUUCUGUGCCGCAGUUAACACAAUCAAGUACUCCGCCUGGGAAGUACGAUCGCAAGAUUAAAACUUAAAUGAAUUGAC
This 544-nucleotide ribosomal RNA is filed under the name uncultured bacterium. RNAcentral's name for it is "partial 16S ribosomal RNA". It matches the Rfam family "Bacterial small subunit ribosomal RNA", at positions 355 to 914 of the family's 1533-position model. The record is from RNAcentral.